GACGAACGCUGGCGGCGUGCCUAAUACAUGCAAGUCGAGCGGACGAAUCGAAAGCUUGCUUUUGAUUCGUUAGCGGCGGACGGGUGAGUAACACGUGGGCAACCUGCCCUGUAGAUGGGGAUAACACCGAGAAAUCGGUGCUAAUACCGGAUAACACGAAAUGUCGCAUGACGUUUCGUUGAAAGACGGCGCAAGCUGUCGCUACAGGAUGGGCCCGCGGCGCAUUAGCUAGUUGGUGAGGUAACGGCUCACCAAGGCGACGAUGCGUAGCCGACCUGAGAGGGUGAUCGGCCACACUGGGACUGAGACACGGCCCAGACUCCUACGGGAGGCAGCAGUAGGGAAUCUUCCGCAAUGGACGAAAGUCUGACGGAGCAACGCCGCGUGAGCGAAGAAGGCCUUCGGGUCGUAAAGCUCUGUUGUUAGGGAAGAACAAGUAACGCAGUAACUGGCGUUACCGUGACGGUACCUAACGAGAAAGCCACGGCUAACUACGUG
RNAcentral lists this ribosomal RNA (498 nucleotides) under uncultured bacterium. Its description in RNAcentral is "partial 16S ribosomal RNA". It matches the Rfam family "Bacterial small subunit ribosomal RNA", at positions 28 to 507 of the family's 1533-position model. The record is from RNAcentral.